Long non-coding RNA from Bufo gargarizans (Asiatic toad), 864 nucleotides. RefSeq lists it as uncharacterized. The transcript has 3 exons. NCBI's taxonomy places the organism in Eukaryota, Metazoa, Chordata, Amphibia, Anura, Bufonidae. The record is from RefSeq and is a predicted model, not a curated record.
GGGAUGAUUCCCAUUUUAUGCUUAGACGGGCAGGAGGAGCGAGCGGUACGGGAGGCAGAAGAAGCCCGGGGGAGGCCGGCGGACGCUGCGGAGGAGGGCGGAGCAGCCGUUAUCAAUGUCCUGUCGAGGUAUACACACGGUGUGGACGCCUGAGGGAUGACUUCUUACCACCAUAAGACGACUUGCAUCCACCGUGGGCAGGGACUUUGCUAUGAAAGUGUCAUCCAGGAGUUUCCUGAUGGACUGUUCGAGACGUUCUGAAGGAGCACCACAUCAUGGACAAGGUUAAGAACCGGAAAGAAAAGGCAAUGCUAGGCUCGAAGAUGCCAAGACGCAUGUACCAUGAGGACUACGAUGCUGAGCAAUGGCCUGGGGUCAUUAGGAGAAACGUUUGGGAUCCGCCAUUGCAGGAACGGCUUUGGGAAUGUGAAGCACUGGAGAUAUGCUAGUCACGUCUGCUGCACAGAUGCUGGAAAUCUUGCAGAGGUCAGGUAAACAUCAUCCGAGUCUUGUAGGACGCCCAGACAAGGUUUGUGGACCUGGUGUUGCUGGGUGUCUUUGGCACAGAGUACACAAGGAACACAGACCGAAAACAGCUGACAGCCCCUGACCCUUUAUACCAGGCUGGAUGGGUUGGUGAGGGUUAAACUUUGCUAUGUACGAAGUAAUGUUAAUAUCCAUAUAUAAGUAUACACUUUAAAUCAUAUUAACAUUAUUUUCCACAUUUUGGCCUAUACCCUGGCGAUUAUUAGUGUUGUAGCUCAGCAGAUUGUACGGUCUGUCGAUGUAGGCAAUGAAAUCCUAUGUAACUGUGAUAUACUUUGAGAUCCCAAUAAAGUUUAAAAAAACUUUUUUUUUACCCUA